RNAcentral lists this ribosomal RNA (253 nucleotides) under uncultured bacterium. RNAcentral describes it as "partial 16S ribosomal RNA". It matches the Rfam family "Bacterial small subunit ribosomal RNA", at positions 524 to 776 of the family's 1533-position model. The record is from RNAcentral.
UACAGAGGAUGCAAGCGUUAUCCGGAAUGAUUGGGCGUAAAGCGCAUGUAGGCGGUUUAGUAAGUCUGAUGUGAAAUCCCUGGACUCAAUUCAGGAACUGCAUUGGAUACUGCAAAACUAGAGUAUGAGAGAGGUAGGCGGAAUUCUUGGUGUAGAGGUGAAAUUCGUAGAUAUCAAGAGGAACAACAGAAGCGAAGGCGGCUUACUGGAUCAUAACUGACGCUGAGAUGCGACAGUGUGGGGAGCAAACAGG